Molecule: ribosomal RNA, 93 nt
Filed under: uncultured bacterium
Lineage: Bacteria
Description: partial 16S ribosomal RNA
Source: RNAcentral
CCAUGAGAGCUGACUGUACCAGAAGUCGCUAGGCUAACCUGUGGGUUCGCCUUCAGGAGGCAGGCGCCUAAGGUAUGGUUGGUGAUUGGGGUG